AUUUAGGUAGAUUAAAUAAAUUAUAUCAUUGAAGAUGAUAAGAUAACUUUGUUCUUAAAUA
Molecule: transfer RNA, 61 nt
Filed under: Haemopis sanguisuga
Lineage: Eukaryota; Metazoa; Annelida; Clitellata; Hirudinida; Haemopidae
Description: tRNA-Phe
Source: RNAcentral